Molecule: ribosomal RNA, 448 nt
Filed under: uncultured bacterium
Lineage: Bacteria
Description: partial 16S ribosomal RNA
Rfam family: Bacterial small subunit ribosomal RNA
Source: RNAcentral
ACCAGACUCCUACGGGAGGCAGCAGUGGGGGAUAUUGCACAAUGGGGGGAACCCUGAUGCAGCGACGCCGCGUGGGUGAAGGAGUAUUUCGGUAUGUAAAGCCCUAUCGGCAGGGAAGAAGAAAGACGGUACCUGACUAAGAAGCCCCGGCUAACUACGUGCCAGCAGCCGCGGUAAUACGUAGGGGGCGAGCGUUAUCCGGAUUCACUGGGGGUAAAGGGAGCGUAGACGGCCAAGCAAGCCAGGGGUGAAAGCCCGGGGGCCAACCCCGGGACUGCCCUUGGAACUGCAUGGCUGGAGUGCGGGAGGGGCAGGCGGAAUUCCUGGUGUAGCGGUGAAAUGCGUAGAUAUCAGGAGGAACACCGGUGGCGAAGGCGGCCUGCUGGACUGCGACUGACGUUGAGGCCCGAAAGCGUGGGGAGCAAACAGGAUUAGAUACCCCCGUAGC